Molecule: long non-coding RNA, 1947 nt
Filed under: Homo sapiens (human)
Lineage: Eukaryota; Metazoa; Chordata; Mammalia; Primates; Hominidae
Description: HSALNT0113097
Source: RNAcentral
CAAAUUUUAUCUGUAUUAAUUUUCUUUAUUGUUUGUCUGUUUUCUAUUCCAUUGAUUUUGGCUUUCUAUUAUUCCCUUAAGAAAGUACUUCGAAUCGAUUUGUCUUUAUAUUUAAAGUGCAUCUCUUUCAGCCCGAGGAAGCUAAAAAGUAAUAACAAUAAAAAUAAAUGAAUAAAUAAAGUACAUCUCUUAUAGGCCAUAUAUAGUUGAGUCUUGCAUUUUUUUAAUUCAUUCUUACAGUUUUCAUGUUUUAUUAGGUAUGUGUAGUCCAUUUAAAUUUAAAGUAGUCCAGAUAUGGUGGCUCACACUUGUAAUACUAGCACUUUGGAAGGCCCAGGCAGGAUGAUCUUUUGAUGCCGGGAGUUCAGGACAAGACUGGGCAUUAUAGUGAGACUUCACCUCUACAAAAAUUUACAAAUUAGCAGGCAUGGUGGCACAAUCCUGUAAUCCCAGCUACAAAAAAAAAAUGUGAUUAAUGUUUGGGAAAUGUUCACCAUUUUAUAAUUAUUUUUUAUUCCUUCUUUUCUUUCUUCUUUGGGAUAAUUAAAUGUUUUUCAUCAUUCAAUUUUAAAUUAUUUAUAGGCUUUUUGGCUCUCUUUGCUUUUAAAUAAAAAAUGCACAGAUUAAAAUUUAUCUUCUAACACAUCCUUGAAGUUUCUGUGUAGUUCUGAACACUGCACUAGAGAUCCAUGGCCACGACAGAUGAAAGAAUUGGGCUUAAGACUUGCCUGCUGAGGCAGGUCUAUUGCUCAAGCAAAAGCUUCUAACCCAUAUUUUCUUCAGGUGCCAAGUUAAGAGACUCCUGGGUUCUAGAAGGAGUUCCUGGAUGUAGACAAUGGUUUGCUGCCAUCUCCUAAGGUGGCCCUUCAUUUCUAUGUGGGACUGUAUUACCUCUAAGCUCUCUAGGGGCACAGUUCUCCUGGAUGUGUUGGCUUUUGAAGACCCCAGAUAUUCAUCCAUAUAGGAGUAUAAGACAUCAACUUUGUGGUAUUGACAGUCUAGCAGUUGGUGAUUUGAAACCCAUCUAAAAGAGCAGGUUGCUAUAUGCUCAUUAUGAUUCAGUUGAUCUGAAGUGAGAAGCUGCUGUAGACUCUGCUGGUCCUAAGGUUGCGUGUCUACUCAUUAUCUUAAUACAAAGGCAGUUUUUCUGGUUCCUUUUCUGAAAAGACUUCUUAAUAGGUGGCAUUCCUAGUUGGCACCCUGGGCACUGAUAGCAUGGCCUGAGAGACUCCCUAUAUGGCACUUGGGCAACACUGAUGGCCGUAAACCAAAAUGAAUGCUAUGUCUCCUUAGCUCCCAUGACAUUCUCAGGGAUGGAUGUUGUGCUGAUCAGGGUUGAAUACCAAAUGAUAAUGUGAGAAGCCAUUUACUUAUAGGAAAGGCAGUUUCAUAUACUUUUCCAUACCAGUAUUGAAGGGUAUAGUCUUGUGUGAUGGUCUUUUCCAGCAGCAGCCACCAAUAGAUCAUUUCCAAAAUGAUUGUCCAGAGCUUGGAAUAGCUUUGAAGUUGAAAUUGUUAGAUGAAGAAUCAGUAAAAGUCCUUGGUGACCUGAAGUGUACCACAACCUGGACUUACAGGGACAGACAUCAGGACUCACUGGCAGACUGGAUAUGGAGCUCAAAGAAAGAAACAGGCCCUCAAACUCCUGGCCUCAAGUGAUCACUCCGCCUCAGCCUCUCAAAAUGCUGAGAUUACAGGUGUCAACUACUGCAUCCAGCAUACUUGAUUUUUCUUUAUUUUUAUUUUUAUUUCAUUGAAUUAUUGUUUUGAAUAAUAGAGUUUGAAGCUGUAAUAUGUGAAGACAAAUAUAAAAUUGUUAUAUUGUCCUGGUAAGUGAAACCUCUUAAUCAAUAUAUAGGAAUUCCUUAUUUUUUUUUUAGUAAUGCAUUUUACCCAAGAAUGUUUAGUGUAAGUAUUUCCAUGGUAUUUCUUUUUGCAUUCCCUCAU